AGAUUGAACGCUGGCGGCAUGCCUUACACAUGCAAGUCGAACGGCAGCACGGGAGCAAUCCUGGUGGCGAGUGGCGAACGGGUGAGUAAUAUAUCGGAACGUGCCCAGUCGUGGGGGAUAACGCAGCGAAAGCUGUGCUAAUACCGCAUACGAUCUAUGGAUGAAAGCGGGGGAUCGCAAGACCUCGCGCGAUUGGAGCGGCCGAUAUCACGAUUAGGUAGUUGGUGGGGUAAAGGCCUACCAAGCCUGCGAUCUGUAGCUGGUCUGAGAGGACGACCAGCCACACUGGAACUGAGACACGGUCCAGACU
Molecule: ribosomal RNA, 310 nt
Filed under: uncultured soil bacterium
Lineage: Bacteria
Description: bacterial SSU rRNA
Rfam family: Bacterial small subunit ribosomal RNA
Source: RNAcentral